GGGAGAGGCAGCACCGGGAAAGAAGGGCGUCUGUGGUGUGGGGUUCCGGAGUUUGGAGGUGGAAAUAUGAGUCGUUUUCUGUCGCAAAUUAUCUCUGCUUUUCAAAUUGCCUACAAUGAGCGACUGUUGUUUAUAUAGUCACAGAAGUUAUUAAGAAAGAAAAGUCUCGAAGCCAUCAUUUCUCCACAGGCCCUCUCAAGGGUGGACCUUGCCCCAGGCACAGUCUAAUAAGGCCCCACCACCGGAGCCACCGCUUCAGUCUACAAGGAGCCCGUCAGGGAGGGUAGGGGCCAACCCUCUGCAAAGUGCUGCCCCGGGACCAGGUGGUGCCUCCCACGGGCCAAGAAGAGACAGAACACAGAACGCAGCUCCUCCAGGGAUCUCAGUUCCCCGACCAGGGAUUGAACCCAGGCCACAGCAGUGAAAGCACCAAGUCCUAACCACUAGACCACCAGGGAACUCCCAUAAAAUUUACCAUUUUUAAGUGGACAAUUCAGUGGCAUUAAAUACAUUCACAUUGUUGUGCGACCAUCACCACCGACCAUGUCUAGAAUGUUUUCAUCUUCCCAAACUGCAACUGUGUACUCAUUAAAAACUAACUCUCCAUUCCCCCUUCCUUUCCAUUCCCCCUUCCCCUCCAGUGGCAAAAAUGUCACCUGUUUACAAAACAUGUAGGACAGUUUCUACUUCAUGUCUGCAAGUCUUAAUUUACAAUAACAAAUUAUUUUCUGUGUUUUUAUUUGGAAGGCACUUAGGAGUGCAAAAUUCGCUGCCCAAUUUCACUCAGCCACCACACAAAAACCACAAAUGACAGUCCCAACACUGCAAAUUUUGAAGGAUUGAGAUAGUUUGUCUAUAGUAGUUUUGACUUUUCUAGCCUGAAAUUUUUGGGUGAUUCUCUUAGGAAAAAUAAAUCUGUUUGGGGUCUAACUUUGCUAAAUGGGGGUCCAGAAGCAUAGUGAACAAGAACCACUAAUUCAAAGUGUGACAAUUUUAAAGCCUUCUGUUGCUUAUAUGAACAGAAGACUCCAAAAUUUUGCAAGUAACAUAAAGACAAUUUUUUUUUUGAUUUACAAUGUUGUGUUGGUUUCUGGUGUACAGCAAAGUGAUUCAGGUAUAUAUAUGUUAUAUAUUCUCUUUCAUAUUCUUUUCCAUAUGGUUUAUUAUAGGAUAUUGAAUAUAGUUCCCUGUGCUAUACAGUAGGACCUUGCUGUUUAUCCAUUCUAUCUAUAACAGGUUGCAUCUGUGAGUCCUAAACUCCCAAUCCUUCCCUCCCCCACCCCUCUCCCCCCUUGACCACCACAAGUCUGUUCUCUAUGUCUGGGAGUCUGUUUCUGUUUCAUAGAUAAGUUCAUUUGUGUCAUAUUUUAGAUUCCACAUGUAAGUGACAUCAUAUGGUAUUUGUCUUUCUCUUUCCGACUUCACUUAGUAUGAUAAUCUCUAGGUCCAUCCAUGUUGCUGCAAAUGGCAUUAUUUCAUUCUUUUUCAUGGCUGAAUAGUAUUCCAUUGUAAAUAUGUACCACGUCUUAUUUAUCCGUUCAUCUGUUGAUGGACAUUUAGGUUGUUUCCAUGUCUUUGUUAUUGUAAAUAGUGCUGCUAUGAACAUAGGGGUGCAUGUAUGUUUUUGAAUUAUAGUUUUGUCUGGAUAAUAUGCCCAGGAGUGGGAUUACUGGACCAUAUGGUAACUCUAUUUUUAGUUUUUUGAGGAAGCUCCAUACCGUUCUCUAUAGUGGCUGCACCAAUUUACAUUCCCACCAAUUGUGUAGGAGGGUUCCCUUUUCUCCAUACUCUCUCCACCAUUUGUUAUUUGUAGACUUGUUAAUGAUGGUCAUUUUGGCUGAUGUGAGGUGGUACCUCACUGUAGUUUUGAUUUUCAUUUCUCUAAUAAUUAGCGAUGUUGAGCAUCUUUUCACAUGCCUAUUGGCCAUCUGUGUGUCUUCUCUGGAGAAAUGUCUAUUUAGGUUAAACACAGUUGUUUGUUCAAUGGAAUUGAAAAAAUCCUGACCCAAAUGACACUACUUAGCCCAAAUGACCAAAGACUAUUUUAUAACAAAUUGUAAUUUUUGAGAGAUGGUUAACAUCAAUACUAUACAUAUUUUAUGUGUCAGAUUAAGAGUUCAAGAGUAUAUAAAAUAGGGUCAUGCAUCACUACCUCUAAGAAUACCACGUACAAGGUAAACCCCAAGUGCUUAUGACAGUAUUUCAGAUGGAAGCAGUCUUAUACAGAAACAAUCUAGUGUCUCUGCUGUGUGGGUAUAUAUCGAAAUUUGAGGGAUUACUGAGAGAAAAAAAUCUUGGUCCAUUAAAGAUUUAUAGAAAAGGGGAUUUUCUAUGGGAUUCUGUGGGAUUUUCAAUGUUUGCUUUUUUAAAAAAAAUCCAGAAUAAAUUACUUUCUGUACAAAGAAAAAUUGCGGACUUCUGGAUGACCAUAUCUGAUCGCAUGCACUAGAU
Long non-coding RNA from Physeter macrocephalus (sperm whale), 2451 nucleotides. RefSeq lists it as uncharacterized. The record is from RefSeq and is a predicted model, not a curated record. Lineage: Eukaryota; Metazoa; Chordata; Mammalia; Artiodactyla; Physeteridae. The transcript is spliced from 3 exons.